RNAcentral lists this ribosomal RNA (253 nucleotides) under uncultured bacterium. RNAcentral's name for it is "partial 16S ribosomal RNA". It matches the Rfam family "Bacterial small subunit ribosomal RNA", at positions 524 to 776 of the family's 1533-position model. The record is from RNAcentral.
UACAGAGGGUGCAAACGUUGCUCGGAAUUAUUGGGCGUAAAGCGCGUGUAGGCGGCUCGUUAAGUUGGUCGUGAAAGCCCAUGGCUCAACCAUGGAAGUGCAACCAAAACUGGCGAGCUUGAGUUCUGAAGAGGAUGGCGGAAUUCCCAGUGUAGAGGUGAAAUUCGUAGAUAUUAGGAAGAACACCGGUGGCGAAGGCGGCCAUCUGGCUCGGUACUGACGCUCAGGUUCGAAAGCGUGGGGAGCAAACAGG